UCAGAUUGUUGGUAGUGUAUUGGACUACCAAGUCGAUCACGGGUAACGGAGAAUUAGGGUUCGAUUCCGGAGAGGGAGCCUGAGAAACGGCUACCACAGCUACGGUAGGCAGCAGGUGCGUAAAUUACCCAAUCCAAAAUCUGGAAGGUAGUUACAGGAAAUUUGUUGCAUGGGGUUCUACCCCAGACACAAACGAACACAUGUAAGUAUUGUGUGUUUAAUUGGAGGGCAAGUUUUGGUGCCAGCAGCCGCGGUAAUUCCAACUCCAAGAGUGUAUCUUAAUGUUGCUGCAGUUAAAAAGCUCGUAGUUGAACUUCUGGCUAGUGGAGGUCCCCCGGGAUCAUUCGCUAGUCAUCCGCUCGGAGAAGCAGUAUUUCCUUUACUGGUUUUACUGUAGACCCAGCAUUUUACUUGAAGAAAUUAGAGUGUUCCUGGCAGGCUUAGCUUGCAUAUAUUAGCAUGGAAUAAUGGAAUAGGACCUUGUCUGUUUAUGGUUGACAGAUAGGUAAUGAUUAACAGGGACAGUC
This 527-nucleotide ribosomal RNA is filed under the name uncultured eukaryote. RNAcentral's name for it is "SSU rRNA". It matches the Rfam family "Eukaryotic small subunit ribosomal RNA", at positions 315 to 883 of the family's 1831-position model. The record is from RNAcentral.